RNAcentral lists this ribosomal RNA (1440 nucleotides) under uncultured organism. RNAcentral describes it as "16S ribosomal RNA". It matches the Rfam family "Bacterial small subunit ribosomal RNA". The record is from RNAcentral.
CAGGCUUAACACAUGCAAGUCGAGGGGCAGCAUGGUCUUAGCUUGCUAAGGCCGAUGGCGACCGGCGCACGGGUGAGUAACACGUAUCCAACCUGCCGUCUACUCUUGGACAGCCUUCUGAAAGGAAGAUUAAUACAAGAUGGCAUCAUGAGUCCGCAUGUUCACAUGAUUAAAGGUAUUCCGGUAGACGAUGGGGAUGCGUUCCAUUAGAUAGUAGGCGGGGUAACGGCCCACCUAGUCUUCGAUGGAUAGGGGUUCUGAGAGGAAGGUCCCCCACAUUGGAACUGAGACACGGUCCAAACUCCUACGGGAGGCAGCAGUGAGGAAUAUUGGUCAAUGGGCGAGAGCCUGAACCAGCCAAGUAGCGUGAAGGACGACUGCCCUAUGGGUUGUAAACUUCUUUUAUAAAGGAAUAAAGUCGGGUAUGGAUACCCGUUUGCAUGUACUUUAUGAAUAAGGAUCGGCUAACUCCGUGCCAGCAGCCGCGGUAAUACGGAGGAUCCGAGCGUUAUCCGGAUUUAUUGGGUUUAAAGGGAGCGUAGAUGGAUGUUUAAGUCAGUUGUGAAAGUUUGCGGCUCAACCGUAAAAUUGCAGUUGAUACUGGAUAUCUUGAGUGCAGUUGAGGCAGGCGGAAUUCGUGGUGUAGCGGUGAAAUGCUUAGAUAUCACGAAGAACUCCGAUUGCGAAGGCAGCCUGCUAAGCUGCAACUGACAUUGAGGCUCGAAAGUGUGGGUAUCAAACAGGAUUAGAUACCCUGGUAGUCCACACGGUAAACGAUGAAUACUCGCUGUUUGCGAUAUACUGCAAGCGGCCAAGCGAAAGCGUUAAGUAUUCCACCUGGGGAGUACGCCGGCAACGGUGAAACUCAAAGGAAUUGACGGGGGCCCGCACAAGCGGAGGAACAUGUGGUUUAGUUCGAUGAUACGCGAGGAACCUUACCCGGGCUUAAAUUGCAGAUGAAUUACGGUGAAAGCCGUAAGCCGCAAGGCAUCUGUGAAGGUGCUGCAUGGUUGUCGUCAGCUCGUGCCGUGAGGUGUCGGCUUAAGUGCCAUAACGAGCGCAACCCUUGUUGUCAGUUACUAACAGGUUCCGCUGAGGACUCUGACAAGACUGCCAUCGUAAGAUGUGAGGAAGGUGGGGAUGACGUCAAAUCAGCACGGCCCUUACGUCCGGGGCUACACACGUGUUACAAUGGGGGGUACAGAGGGCCGCUACCACGCGAGUGGAUGCCAAUCCCCAAAACCUCUCUCAGUUCGGACUGGAGUCUGCAACCCGGCUCCACGAAGCUGGAUUCGCUAGUAAUCGCGCAUCAGCCACGGCGCGGUGAAUACGUUCCCGGGCCUUGUACACACCGCCCGUCAAGCCAUGGGAGCCGGGGGUACCUGAAGUGCGUAACCGCGAGGAGCGCCCUAGGGUAAAACUGGUGACUGGGGCUAAGUC